UUGCUUUGGCAGCACAUAUACUAAACCUGGAAUGAUAUAGAGAAGAUUAGCAUGGCCCCUGCACAUGGAUGACAUGCAAAUUCAUGAAGCAUUCCAUAGUUUU
Small nuclear RNA from Piliocolobus tephrosceles (Ugandan red Colobus), 103 nucleotides. NCBI's taxonomy places the organism in Eukaryota, Metazoa, Chordata, Mammalia, Primates, Cercopithecidae. The record is from RefSeq and is a predicted model, not a curated record.